Molecule: transfer RNA, 64 nt
Filed under: Metaphycus eriococci
Lineage: Eukaryota; Metazoa; Arthropoda; Insecta; Hymenoptera; Encyrtidae
Description: tRNA-Thr
Source: RNAcentral
GCUUUUAAUUUAAAUUUAAAAUAUUAAUUUUGUAAAUUAAAAAUAUAUAAAAUUAUAUAAAGCU